RNAcentral lists this ribosomal RNA (274 nucleotides) under uncultured bacterium. Its description in RNAcentral is "partial 16S ribosomal RNA". It matches the Rfam family "Bacterial small subunit ribosomal RNA", at positions 523 to 796 of the family's 1533-position model. The record is from RNAcentral.
AUACGGAGGGUGCAAGCGUUACUCGGAAUCACUGGGCGUAAAGCGCGCGCAGGCGGCUUGAUAAGUUGGAUGUGGAAGCCUACGGCUCAACCGUAGAACUGCAUCCAAAACUGUCAAGCUAGAGUCUGGGAGGGGAAGAUGGAAUUAGUUGUGUAGGGGUAAAAUCCGUAGAGAUAACUAGGAAUACCAAAAGCGAAGGCGAUCUGCUGGAACAGUACUGACGCUGAGGCGCGAAAGCGUGGGGAGCAAACAGGAUUAGAAACCCCGGUAGUCC